UGUCAGCUCAGGGAUUUGAACUUGCAACCUUUCGGUUACUAGUCCAACGCUCUAACCACUAGGCUAUUCUGCCGCCCAGCCGCCCAAAGCCCAGUCUAUUUUAAAAUGACAAACAUAAUUUGAUUCGAUUUUUGAUUUGAUUUGGAGACUACAGCACAUCGAGCCUGUGGACGGACAGACAUGAGGCAUGACAUACGGAACAUCAGGCUCACCCCACGAGAAGCCGUGCAUGAUCAACGACACCCUCAGCGGGGAGAUCUGCUGGCGGUGAUGUACUGUACUCUCUCACUCUGGCAGGGAUGACUGGGGCCUUCAGCAAGUAAGACACAGGGACCAGUGUCCCCAGAACGUUAUGACACAGAGGAGCGUUCCAUGGAUCCCACUCCCAUACUCCCAGCUUCUUGUUUGGUGGUGCCGGUAGUGUGGGAGCUGGACGCGGACAUUGAGCUGACGUCACGUGCAGAGCCCUCUCCCCCUCAGUGUCCAGCUGGGCGUCUGUACGUUCCAUCUGCUGUCCGCGACCGACUGAUCUAUUGGGCCCACACGUCACCCUCCUCUGGUCAUCCUGGGAUAGGUCGGACAGUACGCUGUCUUGAUGAGAGGUACUGGUGGCCCACUUUAGCUAAGGACGUGAGGAUUUACGUUUCCUCCUGCUCAGUGUGCGCCCAAUGCAAGGCUCCUAGACACCUGCACAGAGGUAAAUUACAACCCUUACCCGUUCCACAACAGCCGUGGUCGCACCAGUUGGUGCAUUUUUUAAAACUGAUCUUCCACCUUCACAGGGUAACACCACGACCCUGGUCGGUGUGGAUCGAUUUUCUAAGUCCUGUCGUCUCCUCCCUUUGCCCGGUCUCCCUACGGCCUUACAAACUGCGGAGGUCCUGUUUACACAUGUUUUCCGGCACUAUGGGGUGCCUGAGUAUAUAGUGUCUUAUCGGGGUCCCCAGUUCACAUCAAGGGUCUGGAAGGCGUUCAUGGAACGUCUGGGGUUCUCGGUCAGCCUCCACUAACCUUUAUCCCUUUCAAUGUGUUUUUUUUGGCAUCAAAGUCAGACCGAGGCUCCUGCGGUGGACAAUUGGUUACGGCGCGUGGAGGAAACCUGGGAGGCCGCCCACGUCAACCUUCAGCGCACCAUACUGCGCCAGAAAGUUGGCUCAGACAGUCACCGCAGUGAGGCCCCGGUGUUUGCACCAGGGGACAGGGUCUGGCUCUCGACCUGAAACCUGCCCCUCCGCCUGCCCUGCCGGAAGCUGGGUCUGUGGUUUGUGGCGCCGUUUAAAGUCCCAAGGAGAGUGAACGAGGCUUUUGGUAGCUGGCCCGCUCCAUGAGGCUGAAGUGCGUGAUGUUACUCCGCCCCCUCUGGACAUCGAGGGGUCCCGAUGUACUCCGUUCGAUCCAUCUUGGAUUCGAGAUGUCGGGCGAGGGGCCUUCAGUACCUCGUGGACUGGGAGGGGUGCGGUCCGGAGGAGAGAUGCUGGGUUCCGGUUGAGGAUGUAUUAGAUCCUUCCAUGCUGCAAGAAUUCCACCGUCUCCAUCCGGAUCGCCCUGCAGCUCACCCUCCAGGUUGUCCCCGAGGCCGGUGUCGACAGCUGGAGCCGCGCUUCAGGGCGGGUACUGUCACGACUUCUGCCGAAGUCGAAGCCUUGCCUUGUUCGGGCGGUGCUCGGCGGUUGACGUCACCGGUCCUCUAGCCAUCAUUGAUCCAUUUUUCAUUGGUUUUGUCUUGUCUUCCCACACACCUGGUUUCAAUCCCAUUCAUUACAUGUUGUGUAUUUAACCCUCUGUUUCUGUUUCCCCUCAUGUCUUGUCAGAGAUGGUUCGUUAUUCAGUGUUGUGUUGUUUUUGUAUUGGUGUGCGAAGGGUCUUCGUACCCACUUUGUUUAUUGUUACAUUUAGUGUUUGGAGUAUGUUUUGUUUAUUGUUAUUUAAUAACUCCAUUACACUCAGUUUGAUUCUCCUGCACCUUACUUCCCUACCACCUAAACACACGACUCUGACAUGAAAGCUCUUACAAUAUUCGACGAUGACAUUUCUCUAAAACAGGCUAUAGGCUACAUGUGCACCACCAAGUCAGAACAGUAGGCUAAAUUAUGAAGCGAAAAGGGACCAAAUUAAUAGGGUGAGGCACAUGGGCUACUAACAGCUUACUACACAACAUACACUUAGUAUUAAUGUCUUAGCUACAGUAUACAUAUCUCCCUGGCAUAUUACCUCAUUUAUGCAGCAGCAUACACAUUUUGGAUUCACCUUGUUGUUCUCACUUGAACAGGAAGGUGGCACGGCGGUCCUUCGUGGGCAAAUUUUGUCAUCAAACUUUGUCAUUCUCUGGAUUUAUGGUGCUUUCAAUACAACUGGAAACUCAUGACGUUAGUGAUCUUCAGGUUGGAGCUCUAGAAAGAGGCCUGAGUUCCCGACUUGGAAUUCUGAGCUUGUUGUCAUUGCAGGCAAUCUCAACGCUGUGUGUUACAGGGAAUGGCAAGAGUGUGCAAAGCUGUCAUCAAGGAAAAGGGUGGCUACUGAAGAAUCUCAAAUAUAAAAUAUAUAUUGAUUGUUUAACUUUUUUUGGUUACUACAUGAUUCCAUAUGUGUUAUUUCAUAGUUUUGAUGUUUUCACUAUUAUUCUACAAUGUAGAAAAUAGUAAAAUAAAGAAAAACCCUUGAAUGA
Oncorhynchus kisutch (coho salmon) is the source of this 2665-nucleotide long non-coding RNA. RefSeq lists it as uncharacterized. The transcript has 5 exons. Lineage: Eukaryota; Metazoa; Chordata; Actinopteri; Salmoniformes; Salmonidae. The record is from RefSeq and is a predicted model, not a curated record.